UACGUAGGGUGCAAGCGUUGUCCGGAAUUAUUGGGCGUAAAGAGCUCGUAGGCGGUUUGUCGCGGCUGCUGUGAAAACUCGGGGCUUAACCCUGGGCCUGCAGUGGGUACGGGCAGACUAGAGUGCGGUAGGGGAGACUGGAAUUCCUGGUGUAGCGGUGAAAUGCGCAGAUAUCAGGAGGAACACCGGUGGCGAAGGCGGGUCUCUGGGCCGUAACUGACGCUGAGGAGCGAAAGCGUGGGGAGCGAACAGG
RNAcentral lists this ribosomal RNA (253 nucleotides) under uncultured bacterium. RNAcentral's name for it is "partial 16S ribosomal RNA". It matches the Rfam family "Bacterial small subunit ribosomal RNA", at positions 524 to 776 of the family's 1533-position model. The record is from RNAcentral.